This 489-nucleotide ribosomal RNA is filed under the name uncultured eukaryote. RNAcentral describes it as "SSU rRNA". It matches the Rfam family "Eukaryotic small subunit ribosomal RNA", at positions 43 to 527 of the family's 1831-position model. The record is from RNAcentral.
AUUAAGCCAUGCAUGUCUAAGUAUAAACAACUUUAUACUGUGAAACUGCGAACGGCUCAUUAUAUCAGCAAUAAUUUAUUUGAUGGUUCCUUACUACACGGAUAACUGUAGUAAUUCUAGAGCUAAUACGUGCGUAAAAUCCCGACUCUUGCGGGGAGGGAUGUAUUUAUUAGAUAAAAAGCCAGCGCGGGUUCUGCCCGGUUUUGUGGUGAAUCAUAGUAACUUUUCGAAUCGCAUGGCUUCACGCCGGCGAUAGUUCAUUCAAAUUUCUGCCCUAUCAGCUUUCGACGGUAGUGUAGUGGACUACCGUGGCAUUAACGGGUAACGGAGAAUUAGGGUUCGAUUCCGGAGAGGGAGCCUGAGAAACGGCUACCACAUCCAAGGAAGGCAGCAGGCGCGCAAAUUACCCAAUUCUGACACAGAGAGGUAGUGACAAAAAAUAACAAUACCUGGCUUCUUUAGGUCGGGUAAUUGCAUGAGUACAAUUUA